RNAcentral lists this ribosomal RNA (253 nucleotides) under uncultured bacterium. RNAcentral's name for it is "partial 16S ribosomal RNA". It matches the Rfam family "Bacterial small subunit ribosomal RNA", at positions 524 to 776 of the family's 1533-position model. The record is from RNAcentral.
UACGUAGGGUGCGAGCGUUAAUCGGAAUUACUGGGCGUAAAGGGUGCGCAGGCGGCUUGCUAAGACAGGUGUGAAAGCCCCGAGCUUAACUUGGGAACUGCGCUCGAAACUACUUGGCUAGAGUGUGGCAGAGGGAGGUGGAAUUCCACGUGUAGCGGUGAAAUGCGUAGAGAUGUGGAGGAACACCGAUGGCGAAGGCAGCCUCCUGGGCCAACACUGACGCUCAUGCACGAAAGCGUGGGGAGCAAACAGG